AGUGAACGCUGGCGGUAGGCCUAACACAUGCAAGUCGAACGGCAGCACAGUAAGAGCUUGCUCUUACGGGUGGCGAGUGGCGGACGGGUGAGGAAUACAUCGGAAUCUACUUUUUCGUGGGAGAUAACGUAGGGAAACUUACGCUAAUACCGCAUACGACCUACGGGUGAAAGCAGGGGAUCUUCGGACCUUGCGCGAUUGAAUGAGCCGAUGUCGGAUUAGCUAGUUGGCGGGGUAAAGGCCCACCAAGGCGACGAUCCGUAGCUGGUCUGAGAGGAUGAUCAGCCACACUGGAACUGAGACACGGUCCAGACUCCUACGGGAGGCAGCAGUGGGGAAUAUUGGACAAUGGGCGCAAGCCUGAUCCAGCCAUACCGCGUGGGUGAAGAAGGCCUUCGGGUUGUAAAGCCCUUUUGUUGGGAAAGAAAAGCAGCAGGUUAAUACCCCGCUGUUCUGACGGUACCCAAAGAAUAAGCACCGGCUAACUUCGU
Molecule: ribosomal RNA, 491 nt
Filed under: uncultured bacterium
Lineage: Bacteria
Description: partial 16S ribosomal RNA
Rfam family: Bacterial small subunit ribosomal RNA
Source: RNAcentral